This 516-nucleotide ribosomal RNA is filed under the name Vaejovis carolinianus. RNAcentral describes it as "eukaryotic LSU rRNA". It matches the Rfam family "Eukaryotic large subunit ribosomal RNA", at positions 666 to 1138 of the family's 3401-position model. Lineage: Eukaryota; Metazoa; Arthropoda; Arachnida; Scorpiones; Vaejovidae. The record is from RNAcentral.
CCAAGGAGUCUAACAUGUGCGCGAGUCGUCGGGUCUUGAAUAGGCCCGCAGGCGCAAUGAAAGUGAAGGGCGACCGAGUUGUCGUCUGCGUUGGGAUCCCCGGACCGUCGUGUCUGGGGCGCACCAACGGCCCGUCCCGUCCGCAGCGUCGGUGGGACGGAGCGAGAGCGUACACGUUGGGACCCGAAAGAUGGUGAACUAUGCCUGGGCAGGACGAGGCCAGAGGAAACUCUGGUGGAGGUCCGCAGCGAUUCUGACGUGCAAAUCGAUCGUCAGACCUGGGUAUAGGGGCGAAAGACUAAUCGAACCGUCUAGUAGCUGGUUCCCUCCGAAGUUUCCCUCAGGAUAGCUGGCGCUCGAGGGAGUCAGUCUCAUCCGGUAAAGCGAAUGAUUAGAGGCCUUGGGGCCGAAACGACCUCAACCUAUUCUCAAACUUUCAAUGGGUGAGAAGUCCGGUUUACAUGACUGAAGCCCGGACAAUUCUCACAGGAUGCGAGUGCCCAGUGGGCCACUUUU